UGCAGCCGGGGAGAUAGCGGUGCCCUGUACCUGCAAUCCGCUACAGCAGGGGUGAUACCGAUCCGAGGCUGUCCGGCUGUGGUGCAGCACUUUGUAAGUGGUGUUGACGUCUGGGUCUUGUGCGGCAGAAACCUGUGAAACGUGUCAGGUUGGGAACAAAGCAGCACUAAGCAGGACCUUCUGGGCGACGCAAGGGCGCCUGGGCUGAGCUAACUGCAAGGAAAGCGGCUGUGGUCGGUAGUCGAAGUGAGGUGCACGG
Molecule: signal recognition particle RNA, 259 nt
Filed under: bovine gut metagenome
Description: Bacterial large signal recognition particle RNA
Rfam family: Bacterial large signal recognition particle RNA
About the family: The signal recognition particle (SRP) is a universally conserved ribonucleoprotein involved in the co-translational targeting of proteins to membranes. Archaeal SRP consists of a 7S RNA and homologues of the eukaryotic SRP19 and SRP54 proteins.
Source: RNAcentral